AUGGCGGCGGCCACCCUCCUGCUCCUCCUCCUCCUCUGCCCGGCGCUGGCCCUGGGUUGUGUCUGCCCCGGGGGCCCGUCGGCCUGCACCGACGAGGACAAAGCGUGCAUGCAGACGUUGUGCGACCCCGGCUGCAGCGAAUGGUUAGGAAGUCUCGUCUGCCUGGAAGGUUGCCGGCAGUGCCUGCAGAAAAUUCCAGUGGGAUGCGGCAAAGCGUUCCAGGAUUGCACGUUCAGAUGCGAAAAGGCGGACCGGUAUUGCCAUGCCGACUGCCCCUUCGGCAACAACAGAGUCAAAUGCAAGCUCGGCUGCGACAAGAAAAACGACGAAUGCGUGUCCCAGUGCCUCAAGGGCCUCUAG
RNAcentral lists this ribosomal RNA (360 nucleotides) under Triticum aestivum (bread wheat). RNAcentral describes it as "partial small subunit ribosomal RNA". The record is from RNAcentral. Lineage: Eukaryota; Viridiplantae; Streptophyta; Magnoliopsida; Poales; Poaceae.